RNAcentral lists this ribosomal RNA (468 nucleotides) under uncultured bacterium. RNAcentral's name for it is "partial 16S ribosomal RNA". It matches the Rfam family "Bacterial small subunit ribosomal RNA", at positions 28 to 507 of the family's 1533-position model. The record is from RNAcentral.
GACGAACGCUGGCGGCGUGCCUAACACAUGCAAGUCGAACGGAAAGGCCCUGCGUUUGUGGGGUGCUCGAGUGGCGAACGGGUGAGUAACACGUGAGUAUCCUCCCCUUGACUUUCGGAUAACUUCAGGAAACUGGGGCUAAUACCGGAUAGGAGCUCCUGCUGCAUGGUGGGGGUUGGAAAGAUUCGGCGGUUGUGGAUGGACUCGCGGCUUAUCAGCUUGUUGGUGAGGUAGUGGCUUACGAAGUCUUUGACGGGUAGGCGGCAUGAGAGCGUGACCGGCCACAUGACGCCUGCGGGAGGCAGCAGAAGGCAACGGGAGGCAGCGGUGGGGAGUAUGACGGAGUGGGGGGAAGCGUGUGGCGAAGGCGCCGGGAGCGGAAAGAUGGCUUACGGGGUAUAAACCACUUUCGAAGGAGACAAAGAGGGAGUGACGGUAAUGGGUAAAGAAGCAACGGCUAACUACGUG